GUGCUGAUUUACAGAGAGAGCAGUAGUUUUUCAACCUUUUGUAUGAAAAUAGAAAGGUUAGUUAAUACAUGUACAUUGCAAUAUUUCAGCAUUCCAUAAAGUUUAUUGAUAUUUGGGUUGAUUCUGUAGUAUUUAGGAAUAUAUGCAUUUCUUAUUUUAAUAACAUCAGCAUUGUUACAAAGUGAUAUGUAAUGAUACUCAUCUCCAAGACCAGUUUUACAAAGCUUACAUUUCCUUUCAAUUUCUGGAAUUCUAUUCCAUCUCCCUGUUUCGAUCGGAAAUUUGAUAUUGCAAGUACGAAGUUUGCAAAUAUAAAGUCUAGGAACUUUUCUGAGUCUAAUUAGAUACGGUUCCAUACAAAAGUCAGUCUUAAAUUUUGAAUAAAACUUCCCCCUUGAUGAGUUAUCGAUAUCCGAAAACCAUUUUUGUAUGAACUGGUCAUGGAGUGUUUGUUUAACGUUAAAUUUUAAAAAAUUCAAAUUAACGUUUCCUUGUACCUGCCAUAUUUCACUGUUACCAGUUUCAUCAAAUACAGAUUUUACAUAAUUAAUCCACUUAAAAGAAUUAUUUCCAUUUUCACAUAAAUUAAACAUAAGCUUGUAGAGUUUUCCAGACAGUUUAUCAACAUUUGUUACAAGCUUAUACCAGAAACAAAUCAUUUUCAUCUUGAUACUAAUUUCGAUAGGAAAUCGGCCAAGUUCACCAUAGACCAUGAAAUUUGCGGUCGAUGACCUCACCCCAAGAAUUUUUUUUACAGAACUGUAAAUGUAUCUUCUCAAUAUUCAUCUUAUUUUCAUAUCCCCAGAUUUCGGAG
Molecule: long non-coding RNA, 814 nt
Filed under: Mytilus galloprovincialis (Mediterranean mussel)
Lineage: Eukaryota; Metazoa; Mollusca; Bivalvia; Mytilida; Mytilidae
Source: RNAcentral